This 239-nucleotide ribosomal RNA is filed under the name uncultured bacterium. RNAcentral's name for it is "partial 16S ribosomal RNA". It matches the Rfam family "Bacterial small subunit ribosomal RNA", at positions 67 to 334 of the family's 1533-position model. The record is from RNAcentral.
CGCCCUCUUCGGAGGGAGUGGCAGACGGGUGAGUAACGCGUGGGAAACUACCUUUCGGUACGGAACAACAGUUGGAAACGACUGCUAAUACCGUAUACGUCCUUAGGGAGAAAGAUUUAUCGCCGAUAGAGGUGCCCGCGUUGGAUUAGCUUGUUGGUGAGGUAAUGGCUCACCAAGGCGACGAUCCAUAGCUGGUCUGAGAGGAUGAUCAGCCACACUGGGACUUAGACACGGCCCAG